UGAAUUGGUGGCCGCUCGGGUGGUCGCGCAAGAAUUCGGGCCGAACCGGGUUACGGGUGUCGCGAGAGGCCGAUUGCAAGUGACUACAAGCAAUCGGAAAGCGUUUUGAGGUGGGUUGUGUUUACCGAAGCGACUAGGUCGCCUCUAUGUCUAAGAGUAAUGUGGUUUCAUAUUGAUGCAUGUAAAUGUUAGAUGGAUGCAUGUAGUAAAUGCUAAAGAGAAUGCAUGUGAGCAUGUUGUGUAGAAUGCAUGUCAAUGACAUAAUGUAAAAUGCUAAGUAGAUGCAUAUAACGUGAUGUAGAAAUGCUAGAAUGCAUGACGAGCAUAAUAUGUAAAUGCUAGAAAGUUGCAUGAAUGCAUGAUUAUAUGAUGCUAGGAGAGUGCAUAAUAAUACAUAAAUGAUUAGCAUUAUAAGGAUGUGCUAGAUUAUAUAUGCAUGUGAACUGUAGAAUACUCGGUUGGACAACUAGCAUGUCAAGUAGAUCGAGUGGCAUCGAACCUAGUGUUAAUAAACAUAGGUUGAACACGUGUGGCAUGUAACCUAGUGUUAAUAAACAUAGGUUGAACAAGUGUAGCAUGUAACCUAGUGUUAAUAAACAUAGGUUGGAUAAGUAUGGCACCGAACCUAGUGUUAUUGAACAUAGGUUGAAUGUGAACCUAGUGUCAUGAACCUAGGAUGGAUAAGAAUGAGUAUGAACCUAG
RNAcentral lists this long non-coding RNA (702 nucleotides) under Ananas comosus (pineapple). RNAcentral's name for it is "long non-coding RNA (ACOM_LNC000632)". The record is from RNAcentral. Lineage: Eukaryota; Viridiplantae; Streptophyta; Magnoliopsida; Poales; Bromeliaceae.